AUAUGAAUCACCUGGGGAUCAGGUUGGAAAUGCAGAUUCUAAUUAAGUCAGGGGUGGGGGCUGAUAUUCUGCAUUCAUAACAAGUACCUAAGUGAUAAAAAU
RNAcentral lists this microRNA precursor (102 nucleotides) under Marmota monax (woodchuck). The record is from RNAcentral. Lineage: Eukaryota; Metazoa; Chordata; Mammalia; Rodentia; Sciuridae.